This 253-nucleotide ribosomal RNA is filed under the name uncultured bacterium. Its description in RNAcentral is "partial 16S ribosomal RNA". It matches the Rfam family "Bacterial small subunit ribosomal RNA", at positions 524 to 776 of the family's 1533-position model. The record is from RNAcentral.
GACGUAGGGCGCGAGCGUUGUCCGGAUGUAUUGGGCGUAAAGAGCUCGUAGGCGGCUUGUCGCGUCGACCGUGAAAACUUGGGGCUCAACCCCAAGCCUGCGGUCGAUACGGGCAGGCUAGAGUUCGGUAGGGGAGACUGGAAUUCCUGGUGUAGCGGUGAAAUGCGCAGAUAUCAGGAGGAACACCGGUGGCGGAGGCGGGUCUCUGGGCCGAUACUGACGCUGAGGAGCGAAAGCGUGGGGAGCGAACAGG